GAUGAACGCUAGCUACAGGCUUAACACAUGCAAGUCGAGGGGCAGCAUUAUCUUAGCUUGCUAAGAUAGAUGGUGACCGGCGCACGGGUGAGUAACACGUAUGCAACCUACCCAUAACAGGGGGAUAAGCGGAAGAAAUUCCGUCUAAUACCGCGUAACACAUAGUUGAGGCAUCUCGAUAAUGUAAAAGAUUUAUCGCUGAUAGAUAGGCAUGCGUUCCAUUAGGCAGUUGGCGGGGUAACGGCUCACCAAACCUUCGAUGGAUAGGGGUUCUGAGAGGAAGGUCCCCCACAUUGGAACUGAGACACGGUCCAA
RNAcentral lists this ribosomal RNA (315 nucleotides) under uncultured bacterium. Its description in RNAcentral is "bacterial SSU rRNA". It matches the Rfam family "Bacterial small subunit ribosomal RNA", at positions 28 to 334 of the family's 1533-position model. The record is from RNAcentral.